AUUCNGCAUAAACUGAGGUAUACUAUGGUAC
Molecule: non-coding RNA, 31 nt
Filed under: Rattus norvegicus (Norway rat)
Lineage: Eukaryota; Metazoa; Chordata; Mammalia; Rodentia; Muridae
Source: RNAcentral